UUGACCUUCGAUCAGGUGGGAGUACCCGCUGAACUUAA
This 38-nucleotide ribosomal RNA is filed under the name Dirina astridae. RNAcentral describes it as "partial large subunit ribosomal RNA". Lineage: Eukaryota; Fungi; Ascomycota; Arthoniomycetes; Arthoniales; Roccellaceae. The record is from RNAcentral.